ACUUGACCUCAAUCAGGUAGGACUACCCGCUGAC
RNAcentral lists this ribosomal RNA (34 nucleotides) under Xerocomellus sp. 'atropurpureus'. Its description in RNAcentral is "partial 28S ribosomal RNA". The record is from RNAcentral. Lineage: Eukaryota; Fungi; Basidiomycota; Agaricomycetes; Boletales; Boletaceae.